UACGGAGGGUGCAAGCGUUAUCCGGAUUUAUUGGGUUUAAAGGGUCCGUAGGCGGAUCUAUAAGUCAGUGGUGAAAGCCGACAGCUUAACUGUCGAACUGCCGUUGAUACUGUAGGUCUUGAGUAAAUUUGAAGUGGCUGGAAUAAGUAGUGUAGCGGUGAAAUGCAUAGAUAUUACUUAGAACACCAAUUGCGAAGGCAGGUCACUAAGAUUUAACUGACGCUGAUGGACGAAAGCGUGGGGAGCGAACAGGAUUAGAUACCCUGGUAGUCCACGCCGUAAACGAUGCUAACUCGUUUUUGGGUCUUCGGAUUCAGAGACCAAGCGAAAGUGAUAAGUUAGCCACCUGGGGAGUACGAACGCAAGUUUGAA
Molecule: ribosomal RNA, 372 nt
Filed under: uncultured bacterium
Lineage: Bacteria
Description: bacterial SSU rRNA
Rfam family: Bacterial small subunit ribosomal RNA
Source: RNAcentral